AUCCUGGCUCAGGAUGAACGCUAGCUACAGGCCUAACACAUGCAAGUCGAGGGGCAGCAUGGUCUUAGUUUGCUAAGGCUGAUGGCGACCGGCGCACGGGUGAGUAACACGUAUCCAACCUGCCGUCUACUCUUGGCCAGCCUUCUGAAAGGAAGAUUAAUCCAGGAUGGGAUCAUGAGUUCACAUGUCCGCAUGAUUAAAGGUAUUUUCCGGUAGACGAUGGGGAUGCG
This 230-nucleotide ribosomal RNA is filed under the name uncultured bacterium. Its description in RNAcentral is "partial 16S ribosomal RNA". It matches the Rfam family "Bacterial small subunit ribosomal RNA", at positions 16 to 235 of the family's 1533-position model. The record is from RNAcentral.